RNAcentral lists this ribosomal RNA (463 nucleotides) under uncultured bacterium. Its description in RNAcentral is "bacterial SSU rRNA". It matches the Rfam family "Bacterial small subunit ribosomal RNA", at positions 917 to 1382 of the family's 1533-position model. The record is from RNAcentral.
GGGCCCGCACAAGCGGUGGAGCAUGUGGUUUAAUUCGACGAUACGCGAGAAACCUUACCUGGGUUUGACAUGGAUUUGACUGGGGUAGAGAUACCCCUUCCCGCAAGGGCAGAUUCACAGGUGUUGCAUGGUCGUCGUCAGCUCGUGUUGUGAGAUGUUGGGUUAAGUCCCGCAACGAGCGCAACCCCUAUCUUCUGUUGCCAUCAUUAAGUUGGGCACUCUGAAGAAACCGCCGGUGACAAACCGGAGGAAGGUGGGGAUGACGUCAGAUCAGCAUGGCCCUUAUAUCCAGGGCUACACACGUGCUACAAUGGCCGGUACAGAGGGACGCAAUGCCGCGAGGUGGAGCAAAUCCCACAAAGCCGGUCUCAGUUCAGAUUGCAGUCUGCAACUCGACUGCAUGAAGUCGGAAUCGCUAGUAAUCGCAAAUCAGCAUGUUGCGGUGAAUACGUUCCCGGGCCUU